RNAcentral lists this ribosomal RNA (440 nucleotides) under uncultured Bacillus sp. RNAcentral describes it as "bacterial SSU rRNA". It matches the Rfam family "Bacterial small subunit ribosomal RNA", at positions 358 to 790 of the family's 1533-position model. Lineage: Bacteria; Bacillati; Bacillota; Bacilli; Caryophanales; Bacillaceae. The record is from RNAcentral.
GGAAUCUUCCGCAAUGGACGAAAGUCUGACGGAGCAACGCCGCGUGAACGAAGAAGGCCUUCGGGUCGUAAAGUUCUGUUGUUAGGGAAGAACAAGUACCAGAGUAACUGCUGGUACCUUGACGGUACCUAACCAGAAAGCCACGGCUAACUACGUGCCAGCAGCCGCGGUAAUACGUAGGUGGCAAGCGUUGUCCGGAAUUAUUGGGCGUAAAGCGCGCGCAGGUGGUUCCUUAAGUCUGAUGUGAAAGCCCACGGCUCAACCGUGGAGGGUCAUUGGAAACUGGGGAACUUGAGUGCAGAAGAGGAAAGUGGAAUUCCAAGUGUAGCGGUGAAAUGCGUAGAGAUUUGGAGGAACACCAGUGGCGAAGGCGACUUUCUGGUCUGUAACUGACACUGAGGCGCGAAAGCGUGGGGAGCAAACAGGAUUAGAUACCCUUG